UGGGGAAUAUUGCACAAUGGGGGAAACCCUGAUGCAGCGACGCCGCGUGAACGAAGAAGGUAUUCGUAUCGUAAAGUUCUGUCCUAUGGGAAGAUAAUGACAGUACUAUAGAAGAAAGCUCCGGCUAAAUACGUGCCAGCAGCCGCGGUAAUACGUAUGGAGCGAGCGUUGUCCGGAAUUAUUGGGCGUAAAGGGUACGCAGGCGGUUUAAUAAGUCGAAUGUUAAAGAUCGGGGCUCAACCCCGCAAAGCAUUGGAAACUGAUAAACUUGAGUAGUGGAGAGGAAAGUGGAAUUCCUAGUGUAGUGGUGAAAUACGUAGAUAUUAGGAGGAAUACCAGUAGCGAAGGCGACUUUCUGGACACAAACUGACGCUGAGGUACGAAAGCGUGGGGAGCAAACAGG
This 403-nucleotide ribosomal RNA is filed under the name bacterium. RNAcentral describes it as "partial 16S ribosomal RNA". It matches the Rfam family "Bacterial small subunit ribosomal RNA", at positions 355 to 776 of the family's 1533-position model. The record is from RNAcentral.